This is a long non-coding RNA of Ailuropoda melanoleuca (giant panda), 344 nucleotides long. RefSeq lists it as uncharacterized. Lineage: Eukaryota; Metazoa; Chordata; Mammalia; Carnivora; Ursidae. The record is from RefSeq and is a predicted model, not a curated record. The transcript has 3 exons.
CAACUGUGAACACACUGCCUUCAUGAUGGAUGCUUCUGCUGCCCCUACUGGAGCCAAGCAACACAGACGUUAAGUACUUCUACACAUGGAAUGGUCCCAGCUCUUGAAGACAGGGGAAAUGAGCAGUCUGUACUGAUGGCAUGAGGGAGAGCCAUAUUACUCAGUGCUUUCCCACACACCCAGAGGACUGAAUGCUUUAAUAUGUGCUCUUGAAUGCAACUCAAGCUCUCAACUGACUGGUUUAGAGAGAUCCAGCUCUAAGGAAGGCUACACUAUGGGUGUGCAAAGAUGAUGGAGGCACAAGUACAGUCCUUAAGAAGCUCACACGAAGGGGAGAUAAGAUG